GCCAGAGUGGUGGAAUUGGUAGACACGCUGGACUCAAAAUCCAGUGGGGCUUAAACCCUGUGUCGGUUCGACUCCGACCUCUGGCACCA
RNAcentral lists this transfer RNA (89 nucleotides) under bacterium. RNAcentral describes it as "tRNA-Leu". It matches the Rfam family "tRNA". Rfam says of the family: Transfer RNA (tRNA) molecules are approximately 80 nucleotides in length. Their secondary structure includes four short double-helical elements and three loops (D, anti-codon, and T loops). Further hydrogen bonds mediate the characteristic L-shaped molecular structure. tRNAs have two regions of fundamental functional importance: the anti-codon, which is responsible for specific mRNA codon recognition, and the 3' end, to which the tRNAs corresponding amino acid is attached (by aminoacyl-tRNA synthetases). tRNAs cope with the degeneracy of the genetic code in two manners: having more than one tRNA (with a specific anti-codon) for a particular amino acid; and 'wobble' base-pairing, i.e. permitting non-standard base-pairing at the 3rd anti-codon position. The record is from RNAcentral.